Molecule: ribosomal RNA, 403 nt
Filed under: Clostridioides difficile
Lineage: Bacteria; Bacillati; Bacillota; Clostridia; Peptostreptococcales; Peptostreptococcaceae
Description: bacterial SSU rRNA
Rfam family: Bacterial small subunit ribosomal RNA
Source: RNAcentral
CACUCUAGAGAGACUGCCAGGGAUAACCUGGAGGAAGGUGGGGAUGACGUCAAAUCAUCAUGCCCCUUAUGCUUAGGGCUACACACGUGCUACAAGGGGUAGUACAGAGGGUUGCCAAGCCGUAAGGUGGAGCUAAUCCCUUAAAGCUACUCUCAGUUCGGAUUGUAGGCUGAAACUCGCCUACAUGAAGCUGGAGUUACUAGUAAUCGCAGAUCAGAAUGCUGCGGGGAAUGCGUUCCCGGGUCUUGUACACACCGCCCGUCACACCACGGGAGGUGGAGACGCCCGAAGCCGAUUAUCUAACCUUUUGGAAGAAGUCGUCGAAGGUGGAAUCAAUAACUGGGGUGAAGUCGUAACAAGGUAGCCGUAUCGGAAGGUGCGGCUGGAUCACCUCCUUUCUAAG